Molecule: ribosomal RNA, 380 nt
Filed under: uncultured eukaryote
Lineage: Eukaryota
Description: SSU rRNA
Rfam family: Eukaryotic small subunit ribosomal RNA
Source: RNAcentral
AGCUCCAAUAGCGUAUAUUAAAGUUGUUGCGGUUAAAAAGCUCGUAGUUGGAUUUCUGUUGAGGACGGCCGGUCCGCACUAUGUGCGUGUAUCUGGUUCGGCCUCGGCAUCCUCUUGAGGAACGUUUCUGCGCUUGAUUGCGUGGAGCGGUAUUCAAGACUUUUACUUUGAGGAAAUUAGAGUGUUCACGGCAGGCAAGCGCCUUGAAUACAUUAGCAUGGAAUAAUAAUAUAGGAUCUUGGUUCUAUUUGUUGGUUUCUAGGGCUAAGGUAAUGAUUAAUAGGGAUAAUUGGGGGCAUUUGUAUUAACGCGUCAGAGGUGGAAUUCUUGGAUUGCGUUACGACAAACUACUGCGAAAGCAUUUGCCAAGGAUGUUUUCA